GAUGAACGCUGGCGGCGCGCCUAACACAUGCAAGUCGAACGAGCGAGAGGGAGCUUGCUUUCUCGAGCGAGUGGCGAACGGGUGAGUAACGCGUGAGGAACCUGCCUCAUACAGGGGGAUAACAGUUGGAAACGACUGCUAAUACCGCAUAAGCGCACAGGAUUGCAUGAUCCAGUGUGAAAAACUCCGGUGGUAUGAGAUGGACCCGCGUCUGAUUAGCUGGUUGGUGAGGUAACGGCCCACCAAGGCGACGAUCAGUAGCCGGCCUGAGAGGGUNAACGGCCACAUUGGGACUGAGACACGGCCCAAAACUCCUACGGGA
This 322-nucleotide ribosomal RNA is filed under the name uncultured bacterium. RNAcentral describes it as "bacterial SSU rRNA". It matches the Rfam family "Bacterial small subunit ribosomal RNA", at positions 28 to 346 of the family's 1533-position model. The record is from RNAcentral.